This is a non-coding RNA of Chelonoidis abingdonii (Abingdon island giant tortoise), 654 nucleotides long. Lineage: Eukaryota; Metazoa; Chordata; Testudines; Testudinidae. The record is from the annotation of a RefSeq genome assembly.
AGCCAGAGAGCCGAGUGCGGGGCGGUACAGGACUGCCUGUGUGGUUAGCACCACAGUCGCUCAGCAGAGGAGCACAGCGCCAGUAAGCAAGGAGCUGUCUAUGUAUUAAGGCAUCUCCUCCCUGAGUAAAACCUCCCCCUUCCAGCGCCUCCUCACAGCUGGGGAAAGAGAGGAAGAAACUUCGUUCUUGGGUUGUGGGGAGAAGCUUUUAUCCCACUUUAUCCCUGAAAUAUGUUCCCCCCCUGGGUGUCCGUUCUUAUACUACUUCCGAGUCUGGGAGGGGCUAAUGGAGAGUCCGUGACACAACCUGAUGACCCAGUGACUGUGUCCCAAGGGGAACCAGCGCUUCUGAAAUGCAUCUAUGACUAUGACGCUUCCUAUACUAUUCCCACACUCUGGUGGUACGAGCAACACCCAAAUGAAGCCCCUCGCCUCUUGCUGACACAAUAUGAAACAUUGGAUGAGGAGGAGAGAAGGAGCCGGCGAGGGUUCUCCGCCACACCCGACAAACACGAGAAGACCUUCCACCUGAAGAAAAACUCCAGUGAACUGCGCGACUCCGCCGUCUAUUACUGUGCCAUGAGCGACACAGCGAUUGCGCCCAGCAGAGUCGCUGCACAGAAACCCGCUGGGGGAGAGGAGGCAGCGCACUAA